AGAGUUUGAUCCUGGCUCAGGAUGAACGCUGGCGGCGUGCCUAACACAUGCAAGUCGAACGAAGCGCCUUGAGAGAUUCUUCGGAUGAUCUUUUGGCGACUGAGUGGCGGUCGGGUGAGUAACGCGUGGGUAACCUGCCCUGUACAGGGGGAUAACAGCCAGAAAUGGCUGCUAAUACCGCAUAAGCGCACAGGAAGACAUCUUCCGGUGUGAAAAACUCCGGUGGUACAGGAUGGGCCCGCGUCUGAUUAGCUGGUUGGCGGGGUAACGGCCCACCAAGGCGACGAUCAGUAGCCGGUCUGAGAGGAUGAACGGCCACAUUGGAACUGAGACACGGUCCAAACUCCUACGGGAGGCAGCAGUGGGGAAUAUUGCACAAUGGGGGAAACCCUGAUGCAGCAACGCCGCGUGAGUGAAGAAGUAUUUCGGUAUGUAAAGCUCUAUCAGCAGGGAAGAUGAUGACGGUACCUGACUAAGAAGCUCCGGCUAAAUACGUGCCAGCAGCCGCGGU
RNAcentral lists this ribosomal RNA (511 nucleotides) under uncultured chicken cecal bacterium. Its description in RNAcentral is "bacterial SSU rRNA". It matches the Rfam family "Bacterial small subunit ribosomal RNA", at positions 8 to 521 of the family's 1533-position model. The record is from RNAcentral.